This is an RNA transcript of Triticum urartu, 1356 nucleotides long. RefSeq lists it as uncharacterized. The record is from RefSeq and is a predicted model, not a curated record. NCBI's taxonomy places the organism in Eukaryota, Viridiplantae, Streptophyta, Magnoliopsida, Poales, Poaceae.
GUUUGGACAUUUUCGAGAUAGAGGAGCCUUUGAACGGCCGCCGCCGCGGGCGGCGACGAAGAAAUGUUGGCCUUCGCCGCCGUUAUCUUCUCCCCCGCUCCCGGCACGCUCUCCGGUAGAACAAUCCGCUCCCCUUCUGUCUCCCGCCCAAUCCUCGCUCGAUGCGUUAAGAAAACCACCCCGGAACCACCCCAGUCCAUCUUGUUCUCACUGGGAUCCGCGCGCUCCUGCCGCCGGCCAUGGGUGCCACGUUGCCUCCGCGCGCUCGCCGCCGCCGGCGCCGCUCUCGCGCUCGUGCUCUGUCCUCCGGAUAUCAUCCCUGCCCAUGCCUCCUCCAUGGGCGAGCGUCUGAAGCCGAGUACCCCGUAUCCCUGCGAAGACGUCCGGAGGUAUUACGAGGGCAUGGAGGGCUUGUCCGGUGACGUGCUGAUGGCGAAGCUCGGCGCUGUCGUCUCGCCUCACGCCUCACUGCGCUACAAAGAUGUGUGGGAAGCGCUCAAGAUUCUGGAUGCAGCUGAUGCAGACCACCCAGAAGCCUCCUCUGAAGUGAUCGAGAUAUACUCGCAGAGAGCCGUGCCGAAGCUCUUGGCAGGCAAGUCGGAUGGAUGGAACAGAGAACACCUCUGGCCGCGAUCAUAUGGGCUAACCCGCCGUCCUUCUCUAACCGAUCUGCACAACAUUCGUCCUGCCGAUGCUAAUGUGAACUCGUCCAGGGGAAACAAGUAUUAUGGAGGAUGUGCUGCUACGUCAAAAAAAUGUUCGAGGCCAGCAAAUCGUGAAGCUGCACCUGACACUGAAACAAACAGUGAAAGAUGGGCACCUCCUUUUCAGGUGCGUGGAGAUGUAGCUAGGUCCCUGAUGUACAUGGCUGUGAGCUAUGGAUCCGGACAAAAAGAUGCAGCUCCACAUUUAGAACUUUCUGAUUCGCCAAGUAGUCAGGGUCAACAAAAAGGUUACAUUGUUAGGGGGUUAGUUGAGCGCGGCGGGGGAGGGAAAUAAAACUAAGUUUAAGAAUUGCCUGGUUAUAGCUAGAUGGCUGCAGAAGAUCAUUCAGAUUUCAAGAAAGGAGGAGGAUGGGCCUCCUUUCAGCUCUUCUACAAUGGAAUGAACUAGAUCCACCAUCGAGAUCAGAGCAACGUCGGAAUGAUAGAGUUUGUAGCCUUUACCAGCACAACCGAAAUCCUUUUGUCGAUCAUCCAGAGUAUGCUAAUCUUAUAUGGAGGAACACACCUAGCAAAAUUCCAAGUGUGACCGGAAAAAUAGUGAAAGGCUUGGGUCAAUGAGUUCCACUACAAAAACAAAGGGAAAUAUGAGAAUGAGGUGCUCGGUCAUUGGUUGACCCUAUUUUCUCUGGUA